This 619-nucleotide ribosomal RNA is filed under the name uncultured Bacteroidales bacterium. Its description in RNAcentral is "bacterial SSU rRNA". It matches the Rfam family "Bacterial small subunit ribosomal RNA", at positions 87 to 703 of the family's 1533-position model. Lineage: Bacteria; Pseudomonadati; Bacteroidota; Bacteroidia; Bacteroidales. The record is from RNAcentral.
GCCGGCGACCGGCGCACGGGUGAGUAACGCGUAUGCAACUUGCCUAUCAGAGGGGGAUAACCCGGCGAAAGUCGGACUAAUACCGCAUGAAGCAGGGAUCCCGCAUGGGAAUAUUUGCUAAAGAUUCAUCGCUGAUAGAUAGGCAUGCGUUCCAUUAGGCAGUUGGCGGGGUAACGGCCCACCAAACCGACGAUGGAUAGGGGUUCUGAGAGGAAGGUCCCCCACAUUGGUACUGAGACACGGACCAAACUCCUACGGGAGGCAGCAGUGAGGAAUAUUGGUCAAUGGCCGAGAGGCUGAACCAGCCAAGUCGCGUGAGGGAUGAAGGUUCUAUGGAUCGUAAACCUCUUUUAUAAGGGAAUAAAGUGCGGGACGCGUCCCGUUUUGUAUGUACCUUAUGAAUAAGGAUCGGCUAACUCCGUGCCAGCAGCCGCGGUAAUACGGAGGAUCCGAGCGUUAUCCGGAUUUAUUGGGUUUAAAGGGUGCGUAGGCGGCCCCUUAAGUCAGCGGUGAAAGUCUGUGGCUCAACCAUAGAAUUGCCGUUGAAACUGGGAGGCUUGAGUAUGUUUGAGGCAGGUGGAAUGCGUGGUGUAGCGGUGAAAUGCAUAGAUAUCACGCA